Molecule: ribosomal RNA, 123 nt
Filed under: Curvularia lunata
Lineage: Eukaryota; Fungi; Ascomycota; Dothideomycetes; Pleosporales; Pleosporaceae
Description: partial 5.8S ribosomal RNA
Rfam family: 5.8S ribosomal RNA
About the family: 5.8S ribosomal RNA (5.8S rRNA) is a component of the large subunit of the eukaryotic ribosome. It is transcribed by RNA polymerase I as part of the 45S precursor that also contains 18S and 28S rRNA.
Source: RNAcentral
UCGAUGAAGAACGCAGCGAAAUGCGAUACGUAGUGUGAAUUGCAGAAUUCAGUGAAUCAUCGAAUCUUUGAACGCACAUUGCGCCCUUUGGUAUUCCAAAGGGCAUGCCUGUUCGAGCGUCAU